CCAAGAUGGCAUGGCGGGACUCUGGCAGGCGGCACGGGCCAGCGUUGGGGCCUGCAGGCGGUCUAGUCGCGGAGUGUCUGUGGCAGGAGCGGCCUGGAGGCGGGCGAGUUUAAGGUCCUUGAUGGAGUUAAGUUGGGCCAGGAAUCGUUUUUUGAAGGCGUGGAUCUGCCAAGGAUGAAGUAGAGUUGGGGUCCAUUGCCGGUCUGGGUGAGUGAGGCCCGAAGUUUCGGGAAAGACAAAGCGAGUUCCUGCUGGUGCCGGCACAUCGCAGCCAGAGUAGAUCAUAGAGCAUGGAAGGGGAAUUGCCGUGUAUGGCGGCAGAUAGCCAGUCGGUAUCUACAGUCCGGGUUGGGUCCGAACUGAGAGGUAGGGAACUGGAGCUGGAAACCAUGAGGUACAAGAUGGAGGCGUAGGCAAGUCACGAGAAAGCAAAUGUGGCUAUGGUAACUUCAUAGAUGCUGCUGCACCCGCUGAGUUUCCCCAGCA
Amblyraja radiata (thorny skate) is the source of this 486-nucleotide long non-coding RNA. RefSeq lists it as uncharacterized. The record is from RefSeq and is a predicted model, not a curated record. The transcript is spliced from 3 exons. NCBI's taxonomy places the organism in Eukaryota, Metazoa, Chordata, Chondrichthyes, Rajiformes, Rajidae.